Molecule: ribosomal RNA, 496 nt
Filed under: Escherichia coli
Lineage: Bacteria; Pseudomonadati; Pseudomonadota; Gammaproteobacteria; Enterobacterales; Enterobacteriaceae
Description: partial 23S ribosomal RNA
Rfam family: Bacterial large subunit ribosomal RNA
Source: RNAcentral
GUUGAAGGUUGGGUAACACUAACUGGAGGACCGAACCGACUAAUGUUGAAAAAUUAGCGGAUGACUUGUGGCUGGGGGUGAAAGGCCAAUCAAACCGGGAGAUAGCUGGUUCUCCCCGAAAGCUAUUUAGGUAGCGCCUCGUGAAUUCAUCUCCGGGGGUAGAGCACUGUUUCGGCAAGGGGGUCAUCCCGACUUACCAACCCGAUGCAAACUGCGAAUACCGGAGAAUGUUAUCACGGGAGACACACGGCGGGUGCUAACGUCCGUCGUGAAGAGGGAAACAACCCAGACCGCCAGCUAAGGUCCCAAAGUCAUGGUUAAGUGGGAAACGAUGUGGGAAGGCCCAGACAGCCAGGAUGUUGGCUUAGAAGCAGCCAUCAUUUAAAGAAAGCGUAAUAGCUCACUGGUCGAGUCGGCCUGCGCGGAAGAUGUAACGGGGCUAAACCAUGCACCGAAGCUGCGGCAGCGACACUAUGUGUUGUUGGGUAGGGGAGCG